AGCGAACGCUGGCGGCGUGCUUAACACAUGCAAGUCGAACGUGAAAUGUAGCAAUACAGAGUAAAGUGGCGUACGGGUGAGUAACACGUGGGUAAUCUACCUUAGAAUCUGGAAUAACCGGUCGAAAGGCUGGCUAAUACUAGAUAGAUCAAAUGCACUGUAGAGGUGUGAUUGGGAAAGGGAGCGAGCAAUCGCCUUCGUUCUAAGAUGAGCCCGCGUCUGAUUAGCUAGUUGGUAGGGUAAUGGCCUACCAAGGCGAUGAUCAGUAGCUGGUCUGAGAGGAUGAUCAGCCACACUGGAACUGAAACACGGUCCAGACUCCUACGGGAGGCAGCAGUGGGGAAUCUUGCGCAAUGGACGAAAGUCUGACGCAGCCACGCCGCGUGAGUGAAGAAGGCCUUAGGGUUGUAAAGCUCUGUCGGAAGGGACAAAAACCAUGAUGGUGAAUAGCCAUGAUGCUUGAUGGUACCUUUAAAGGAAGCACCGGCUAACUUCGUGCCAGCCGCCGCGGUAA
Molecule: ribosomal RNA, 514 nt
Filed under: uncultured bacterium
Lineage: Bacteria
Description: partial 16S ribosomal RNA
Rfam family: Bacterial small subunit ribosomal RNA
Source: RNAcentral